CAGCAUUACAUUUUGAAAGUUAGAGAGUACUAUCAUUCAAUACAUCAACAAAAAAUUUACAGAGAAUAAGGAAAUGUUGUUUUCUCUAAGUCUUAAAACCAUCAUUUAAAAUAUUUAUUUUUAAAACCCUGCAGGAGCUGUACAUUGCUGUUGGCAUCUCUGGAGCUAUCCAACAUCUCGCUGGAAUGAAAGAUAGCAAGACCAUUGUGGCCAUCAACAAGGACCCAGAAGCUCCCAUUUUCCAGGUGGCUGACUAUGGCCUAGUGGCAGAUCUGUUCAAGGUUGUACCAGAGUUAACCGAAGCUCUGAAAAAGUAAGAAUCCUAAAUAAAGACUGUACCUACCUGGAAAUCUGCAGGAGAACUUCACUGGGAACUUCUUGACAUCUGCCUUAAGUUCAGAGCGCUAUACUGACGAUCACCUCUCUUGAAGAUUACGCUUUCACGUACUACCAACCUCUGAUUUAGGCAGCAUACCCUUUUUUAAUAAAAGCAUUGAAGAACUCUGUGACAUCUGGGGUUGAAAUAGUUGCAUGUUGGUUUCUUAACAUUUCAAUGUUAUAUCAAAUGUUGUUAACUCUAUUUGUCAGUCUCUUCCUCGAAAUAUGAAUGUACUGGAAGUGUUAAUGACAGUUUGAACUAUUUUGUUCCAUAUUCAAUGAAUUCCAUCUUAAGUCUAUAAAGAGCAAACACUUUGCAUGUUGAGCACAGACCUCAUUGGUGUGGUUCUCAUUUAAGUAGCAGUUAUAAAUGGCUGUCCUAUGGACUAAAUAUUCUGUUUGUGGGUAGAUGUCAUGUGUCAAGAAAGAGAUGCUUAAAAUCUUGGCCGAUAUAAAGUUCCAUUCAUUUGAAUAACUGUGUGCAAAGUAUUAAAAAAAACAAAGUAUU
Long non-coding RNA from Xyrauchen texanus (razorback sucker), 886 nucleotides. RefSeq lists it as uncharacterized. The transcript has 3 exons. NCBI's taxonomy places the organism in Eukaryota, Metazoa, Chordata, Actinopteri, Cypriniformes, Catostomidae. The record is from RefSeq and is a predicted model, not a curated record.